Molecule: non-coding RNA, 254 nt
Organism: Manis javanica (Malayan pangolin)
Lineage: Eukaryota; Metazoa; Chordata; Mammalia; Pholidota; Manidae
Source: RefSeq, a predicted model, not a curated record
CUGGGCCGCUGAGGACGCCGCCUGGGGCGCAGCCGGAGGAGCUCCUGGUCCACUAGGAGGGCGCUGCUCCCACCCCGCAGAAAUGGAAAAGAGAAAAGUUACUGUAAAACUCCAUGUGAUCAUCUAGAACACAGUGUGAAAAGGCCAUUAAAAUGCUGGAAAGAAUUGGUUAAUCUCCAUAAAGAAGUACAGCAUUUCCAUCAUGCCAACCACUAAGUAGAUGGUAGGGUUUCUAGCCAUUGGAAAAUUCUUCU